This is a long non-coding RNA of Prinia subflava (tawny-flanked prinia), 4547 nucleotides long. RefSeq lists it as uncharacterized. The transcript is spliced from 4 exons. Lineage: Eukaryota; Metazoa; Chordata; Aves; Passeriformes; Cisticolidae. The record is from RefSeq and is a predicted model, not a curated record.
UGUAUGUAUAUGCAUGUGUACAUAUAUAUAAAAAAUAUAUAUAAAUGCACAUACGCUUUGUAAUAGAAACAUAAAAUGGAAAAUUUUCAUGUUUAAAGUACUCUUAUAUGAAGCUGUAAUUACACCUAUUCAUUCUCUUCCCCCAUUGACUUUUUAGCAUGCAUCUCAUCUUCUCAUCUAACUUUUACAUGCGACUGCAUUGCCAGUGGAAAGUGUCUGAUUUUUACCAGUUCAAGUGAAAGCAGAAAGUCAUGAGAUGCUUUUAAAAUACCGCGUAACAGUAUAUGAAAAAAUUUGAAUUAACUUUUGAAGAACACAAUCUGGAUUGUGAAUCUCCUAAAUUGAGGUUUUUGCCAAAGCUUUGUGGUUAAAUCCCAUUUUUUAUUUACCUGCACUAUGGAAAAACUAAUAUAGAUAUUCUCCUUUCACUAAAACUUGGAUUUACUGGAAAAGACAGACGCGAUUGAAACACUGAGAUACACUGAGAUACACUGUAGCUUAAAAAAAAAGAUAGUUGUAGAAUAAAUUGCCAUAGUUUACAAAACUGACCACAGAGCUUACAAAAAUAAAAGAAUUAAAAGAAUGUACCAGGCAUUUCAGAUGUGAUUCUCUUUCUAAGUGAAAUAAUUAUAAAGUUUCAGUGUAUUAAAUUAGGUUUUCCUAUUUCUUAAUCUCUCAGUAUUUCAUUAAUAAGGGAUAUUUCAGAAUUUCGCGUAAUGUGCUGAAUUCUGUUGAUGACCAAAAAACAAACAAACAAACCCAGAAAGACCAAUUAAGGACACUCAUAAAAAUUUAAUGGUCUAAAUUAUCUAGUGAGUAAUCUACACCUCUUGAAACAUUAAGCAAUCUUUUUCUAGAAAAGGAAAGUGUCUUAUACUUAACUUUCAUUUGACAAAAUACCUUUUCCCUCACUGCAGUGAAAUACAGACUAACUUACCUGGAAUUUCAUUAAAUUAUCUGCGAGUUUGUCACAUUGAUUACUGUUUCUAAGCCUUUAAAAUCAAUAUAAUAAAAUGCUGAUGAACUUAGAGUGUACAGAACUAAAAGCUCUGAGCUACAGGCUUUUUUUUGUUUAGUGUGGUAUGUACAAUGUCUAGCUAGCUCCAGGAAUUGCCAUUACUAUUUAAUGACUUUGUAUUUAACAGUGCUUGGUUUUAAUAACUGUUUAGGGGAUUUGGUUUCCAUACAUUACGUGUUAUCUACGAAACACCAGAGUUUAACAGGCAUUGCUCAUUUUAAAGGCAGCUCUUUUUUGGGGGGUUUUGUUUGUUCUACAUUUCAUGCUUGAUCAGAAAAUGUAUUUUUUGUAUUUAGAAGUUUACUUUAUGCUUUGACUAGUAAUUUUUUAUCCUGUUCGUCUUUCAGUCUCAUGUACAGUAGGAUAUCUUUGCAGCAAACAAAAUUGUGAUCACUUUCAUGUAGCACAUUCCAGAAACAGAAUCUCCUCCAUUUUCCUAUCUCUGAAAAUGAAGAAAAUGGAUGACAACUAUGCCUGAUCUACCUCUGCUGAGGUAGGAGUUCCCUGUCAAUGGUAUGGCUCCCACACCAAGCAGCCUAGCAGAAACAAAAUGAAAGAUCAGGAAUGUUUAAAAGGACAUUAUUUUUCAGGUAUUAUUCAGCCUAACAUUAGACUACUCAUUGCUGAUACAUAAUUUGUUUUACAUGGGGGUAAGACCUACUACAGAAAUGGUCUAACAGUAUAUUGACAAGUGAUUCCUUUUUCACCCCCAUUAGUGUCUUCUAUGCUGUGCAGUGACUUGUGACUAUGGAAUCUGUUUACGGCAAAAGAUUCAUAUGGUUAAGUUUUCUGUCUGUUUACUCAAAUAAAUGUUUUCAAUUUAACACAACAAUUUGUAAUGAAUACUGUGAAACACACUUAAAAGAAUGAGUUCUUGAAAUAGAAAUAAUAAUAAAAAUGCUUUCCUCCUCUCAAAAAUAUUUAUUUUAACAUGUGGUCACAUUUUUCUGCAUUUUCACAUUAGUUGAGAUCUUACUGUUCUAGAAAAAAAAUAAUCUUUUUUUCCCCAUCAUCUAGUUUUCCAGUUCUAACGCAAAUUAAAGAAUGCAUGCACAGGCAUAAUUUGUGGUUUUAAAACAAGGGAAUGUGUAAAUUCAUGAUAUCUUUAAAAAGCACCGUGUCAAGCAGUGCUCUCAUGAAGCUUGUAGUUUACAAUUUACAUUUCACUUUAGUAUAAGGUUUGUGUGACAAACCUUUGAUUGUCUUGUGAGAUGCUCUAAACAGUGUUAAUUUCACAUAUUUAUUACAAAGGACUUAGUUGAUAUUCAGAAAGAACUUCUAAGCCUCAGAAUGACAGCUGAAGCUCCACAUACUGAGCAGUCUACGGACAACAAAUCCUUUUGAUUUAUUUGGAAAUUACCAGGAUAACUCAUUUAUUUUAAAGGAGGCAGAUGGAGAGCACAGAGUACACCCUCAGCCAGCACUCUCUAGCUUCUGCUGUUCUUGUAUGUAAUCCUCUAUGUUCUUUCCAUUCAGAGUCAUAGAAACUGUUUGAAAGAGAGCCGAGUGUAAGUAUCCAGUCAGUUUAAAGAAACUUUUCUUGGCAACAGGAGCUAAAAUCAAGUACUGUAUCAAGUUAAAUGCAAAGCACCCUACAAAGCUUAUCUGCUUUCUCUUGAAGAAAGAGAGUAACCAUGAGCCUGGAGCUGAAUCACCCUGUGCUGUGGAAGUUCUACCCGUCAGCACCUGCUGAGGGCUUCGUUGAUCAAAAAAAUCAGGGGCACCCUUUCAGAUAGGAACAUGGACCUUAUUGGCAUCAUCUUGUAUCCAUGGAAACAUUUUAAGUACCUCUCUCUCAAUAUGUACUUCUCUUAUUCAGAGUUCAAGAGCUGAGUACCAAAUAAGCUUGUACAGUGAAAGACUCUGGUACUGAAGGGCAGCAUUGGAUUGUGUAGCAUUUAAUAGUGUCUAAUUACAAAACUAUCUUCCUCUUCUUGCAACCCAGUGACACACUCUUCUCCAACCAAAUUCUGAAAAAAAAAAACCUUGGACAACAGUCUUCUUCAACAAACAAGCCCAACUCAAGCCCAGAAACUGGUCUACUCUCUAUACAGAAUGAGGCUGAACUCUGAUAGAAACAGAAGUUUAUGACAGAGAAUUUGAAGAGUGUGACAUGAUACAUGCAACAAAGGGAGGAAUGAGAUAAUUUAAAGAUGCACUCCUCAUCUUAAUUCUAAUAUAUCCCUGUAUUUUAAGACUUGAUGCUAUAAUGUAAAUGUCUUUAUAAAAAAAAUCUUGUUAUGGUAAAUCAUGGGCAGCAUCACCUGUGCCUCCUUUAAUUAUCGUAUUUCAAAUCAAAGUAACAGAAAAUGUAACAAAAAGAGCUUUGCUCUUAACAGAAACCAAUAUUAGUUUAGCAUUUUGCAUUGUUAGAUUAAAAGGAUGUGAUGCAAUAAAAGACACAUUGCAGGAAGAUGUAUUAGUGUUUACAUACUCUGUGAAAUUCGGGGUGAAAAUACUCUUCUCUUACUGUUUUGCAUAAAUAUUUGUACCCCAAUACUCUGAGCUCAGAGAGCAGCAGUUUAACUCAUAUUUCAUUCUCAGGCUCUGUGGUUGAAAACCUAAAUCUCAUAAAUGAAGGACUGUAAUUAUCAGAUAGUAAAUCUCUCUCUCAGCAGUUAUUAUUUAAGGUCAAUUACAGUGAAGAACUUUUCAAUCUGGACUUAUUAUUAAAGGAAAUCUUUCAUGCAGAAUUGAUGAAACAGGAGAGCUUCUCCCUGUACCCCAUCUGCUCUCUGCUUUUUGUGUUCCUUCACUACAGCUGCAGUCAUUACCAGGCUGACUCCACUUUGAAAAACUAAAACCACAUUCUUCAGAACAGUUGCUUGGUGUUGGUCAGAUUUCUCUGCAGACUUUUUUUUUCCACUUGGAGACAUGGAGGCUGACACAUAGUUUCCAAGGACUUUGCAUGUCUUCUGUCUCCAGAAUCGUCUUCUGAAUCCCAAAUAUUUCUCAAGUGGCUAGCAAAAGAAUAUCCAGAUCAUUUUUGACCUGGUGGGACAUGCUUUGAGUAGAGAGCCAGAUGGCUGAGAAAAUGGAUUGUAAAGUAUUAUUUCAUGUUAACUUGUUGUCUUUAAUAUGUGUGUGCUUUCAUUGUUACAGUUAGAGCAUUCACAAGAUCUGAAGAGACUAUGAAAUCCCACUAACUCUAGCAGCAAUUGCUGCCUUUGUUGCUCAGACUGUAAAUUAUGAUUCAUGUUAAAAUGCAAUAAUGCAACUUGAAAAAAAUAAAAGAUGAGCAAUAAGCUAAACAAAAAGAGCUUGUUGCCUUUCCCAAAACAACUCUUUUUCAUUCCUGACCUAGGUUUACUUUUUUCCCUCCUUUUAGCAUCCUUUACAUUAUAUACUAAAAAUAAAUUCAUUGAAGGGUCAAACUUUAACUCCAAAAUCACUGCCUUUGAUAUCCUUUCAGGCAUUAAAAAAAAAAAAAUCAAACACUGAAUAAUUUAAAAAGUUAACAAAAUUUUGUUUAUGGUAAGUCUAAGUAAACGUAAUAAAAAUAACCUUUAAACAUGUUGUUUCAAUUCAG